CCUGCCAAAUUUAUCUGCCAAGUUUCUGACUGGCAGAAGAAACAGAGGAUCUAUGAGUGACGACGACCAUAGAGAAGGUGGAAGAAAGGACGGCAGCAGAUUACAUGAUCGGUGGCUCUGAUACCUGAAGGGAAUUCGAGCAUCGUAUGCGCCGAGGAUUCGCCGAUUAAGGUGAAAGUAUGCAAUUUGAAAACAAUUUUCAGCAAAAUAACAUAGAGCUUUUCAAAACAGCCCAUUGCAAACUUUGGAUCUGAUCCAAUCCUACGAAAUUCCCAGAUGAAUCCGUAGGAUAUGUGAUAGAAAUAUUCAUGCAUGGAUCACAUCGUAUAUGAUCUUGAAUUGAGAUCAAAUCUCAACUCCAAAAACUAAAAACAGAACACUAACCUUUCAGCAAGUUGGUUCUAGCUUGCUGCUCCACAACCGCACAAGCGUCCGGUCUCUACAAGUAAUCCACGCGAGACCUCUGGAUCAACCGGCAUCCUGGGAAGUGCUAGCUCGCAGGGAUGCAGCAGGUGGCCGAGAGAGAGGGAGAGAACUAGGAGGAAGAGGACUAGCUACCCUUUCCUUCAAUCUUUUCUUUUUCCUUUCUUUUUCAUACAACAUGAACUCUCAAAGCUCACUUCACUCUUUCCCAACCGGUGUCAAAACACCAAAUACUCUAAGCCAG
Molecule: long non-coding RNA, 667 nt
Filed under: Phoenix dactylifera (date palm)
Lineage: Eukaryota; Viridiplantae; Streptophyta; Magnoliopsida; Arecales; Arecaceae
Description: long non-coding RNA (PDAC_LNC007725)
Source: RNAcentral